GUAACGGGCUUUCCUGAUCGUGUGCGGAAGUGAUGGAGGAUGCCGUUCCUCUGUGCAAAUCGAGCGCCGUCCUCCCACUUCUCUGGUGGCGGCGCUUCCUCCCUCGGUGCCUUCAACUUCCCCAUCGUAGCCCCCAUCGAGAUGCAUGCCAUUGUAUUGCAAUGCGAAUUACGUUGACACAACUGACAAAUGAAGGGGCAAAAGGCUCAAUAACAACAAAGAUGCAUUGAAAAUGUUGAGGAAAUAUUGCCGUGCAAAAUAUGCAGGAGAUACAAAUGGGCGUAGGAUAUUUCCUAGAUUCAUGUUGGUUCUUCCUUAAGGAGUCCCUUCUCUCGGAAGCUCUUGAUGCAGUCAUCAAACAUCUGUGGGAGAGUUUUGAAACAUGGAAGCCCGAGUUCCCUGAUCUUGGUAGUGUCCAUGCUGUGUGGAUUGCUGUCACCUUCCUGGUCAUUGCACCUGUCGGUUCCAAUUCGAUGUCAGUAAUAUUGACUCAGGAGGCAUCUCCUGAUAACUAAAACAAUCAGGGAACAACAAAAGAGUAUCACUUGGAUGCCAUCGGAUAAGAUGGG
This is a long non-coding RNA of Musa acuminata AAA Group (dessert banana), 569 nucleotides long. RefSeq lists it as uncharacterized. Lineage: Eukaryota; Viridiplantae; Streptophyta; Magnoliopsida; Zingiberales; Musaceae. The transcript has 4 exons. The record is from RefSeq and is a predicted model, not a curated record.